Molecule: ribosomal RNA, 328 nt
Filed under: uncultured eukaryote
Lineage: Eukaryota
Description: partial 18S ribosomal RNA
Rfam family: Eukaryotic small subunit ribosomal RNA
Source: RNAcentral
CCCUUAGAUGUCCUGGGCCGCACGCGCGUUACACUGAUGCAUUCAACGAGCUUAUAACCUUGGCCGAGAGGCCUGGGCAAUCUUGUUAACGUGCAUCGUGAUAGGGAUAGAUUAUUGAAAUUAUUAAUCUUGAACGAGGAAUUCCUUGUAAACGCAGAUCAUCAAUCUGCAUUGAUUACGUCCCUGCCCUUUGUACACACCGCCCGUCGCACCUACCGAUUGGAUGGUCCGGUGAAGCCUCGGGAUUGUGGUUCUUGCCGCUUUAUUGUGGCGUGACCGCGAGAACUUGUCUAAACCUUAUCAUCUAGAGGAAGGUGAAGUCGUAACA